AAUGAUUUUGUUCAUAAACAAUAGUUUGGCCAUCAGUUGAGUCUUUCUUUACAAUAUGUCAUUUUGUCAACCAAUCGCCUUAGUCAUUUUGACCAAAUGAUAUAUAUAUAUAUAU
This 115-nucleotide small RNA is filed under the name Arabidopsis thaliana (thale cress). RNAcentral describes it as "ATSL227400". The record is from RNAcentral. Lineage: Eukaryota; Viridiplantae; Streptophyta; Magnoliopsida; Brassicales; Brassicaceae.